UGGCCGCGCAAGUUCGUCGGGAAAUCCAUCGGCUCAACCGAUGGGCGUCCGGCGAAAACUGCACGGCUUGGGACCGGAAGGCUCGAGGGGUACGUCCGGGGUAGGAGUGAAAUCCCGUAAUCCUGGACGGACCACCGAUGGCGAAAGCACCUCGAGAAGACGGAUCCGACAGUGAGGGACGAAAGCUGGGGUCUCGAACCGGAUUAGAUACCCGGGUAGUCCCAGCCGUAAACGAUGCCAGUUAGGUGUGGCGCAGGCUACGAGCCUGCGCUGUGCCGUAGGGAAGCCGAGAAACUGGCCGCCUGGGAA
RNAcentral lists this ribosomal RNA (309 nucleotides) under uncultured archaeon. RNAcentral describes it as "bacterial SSU rRNA". It matches the Rfam family "Archaeal small subunit ribosomal RNA", at positions 526 to 834 of the family's 1478-position model. The record is from RNAcentral.